RNAcentral lists this ribosomal RNA (253 nucleotides) under uncultured bacterium. Its description in RNAcentral is "partial 16S ribosomal RNA". It matches the Rfam family "Bacterial small subunit ribosomal RNA", at positions 524 to 776 of the family's 1533-position model. The record is from RNAcentral.
UACAGAGGUCCCAAGCGUUGUUCGGAUUUACUGGGCGUAAAGGGUGCGUAGGUGGUUGGGUAAGUUUGAUGUGGAAUCUCCGGGCUUAACCCGGAAAUGGCAUUGAAUACUAUUCGGCUAGAGGUUUGGAGGGGGGACUGGAAUUCUUGGUGUAGCAGUGAAAUGCGUAGAUAUCGGGAGGAACACCAGUGGCGAAGGCGACUACCUGGCCUGUUCUUGACGCUGAGGCGCGACAGCGUGGGGAGCAAACAGG